GGGACACGUGGUAUCCUGUCUGAAUAUGGGGGGACCAUCCUCCAAGGCUAAAUACUCCUGACUGACCGAUAGUGAACCAGUACCGUGAGGGAAAGGCGAAAAGAACCCCGGCGAGGGGAGUGAAAAAGAACCUGAAACCGUGUACGUACAAGCAGUGGGAGCCUCUUUAUGGGGUGACUGCGUACCUUUUGUAUAAUGGGUCAGCGACUUAUAUUCUGUAGCAAGGUUAACCGAAUAGGGGAGCCGAAGGGAAACCGAGUCUUAACUGGGCGUUAAGUUGCAGGGUAUAGACCCGAAACCCGGUGAUCUAGCCAUGGGCAGGUUGAAGGUUGGGUAACACUAACUGGAGGACCGAACCGACUAAUGUUGAAAAAUUAGCGGAUGACUUGUGGCUGGGGGUGAAAGGCCAAUCAAACCGGGAGAUAGCUGGUUCUCCCCGAAAGCUAUUUAGGUAGCGCCUCGUGAAUUCAUCUCCGGGGGUAGAGCACUGUUUCGGCAAGGGGGUCAUCCCGACUUACCAACCCGAUGCAAACUGCGAAUACCGGAGAAUGUUAUCACGGGAGACACACGGCGGGUGCUAACGUCCGUCGUGAAGAGGGAAACAACCCAGACCGCCAGCUAAGGUCCCAAAGUCAUGGUUAAGUGGGAAACGAUGUGGGAAGGCCCAGACAGCCAGGAUGUUGGCUUAGAAGCAGCCAUCAUUUAAAGAAAGCGUAAUAGCUCACUGGUCGAGUCGGCCUGCGCGGAAGAUGUAACGGGGCUAAACCAUGCACCGAAGCUGCGGCAGCGACACUAUGUGUUGUUGGGUAGGGGAGCGUUCUGUAAGCCUGUGAAGGUGUGCUGUGAGGUAUGCUGGAGGUAUCAGAAGUGCGAAUGCUGACAUAAGUAACGAUAAAGCGGGUGAAAAGCCCGCUCGCCGGAAGACCAAGGGUUCCUGUCCAACGUUAAUCGGGGCAGGGUGAGUCGACCCCUAAGGCGAGGCCGAAAGGCGUAGUCGAUGGGAAACAGGUUAAUAUUCCUGUACUUGGUGUUACUGCGAAGGGGGGACGGAGAAGGCUAUGUUGGCCGGGCGACGGUUGUCCCGGUUUAAGCGUGUAGGCUGGUUUUCCAGGCAAAUCCGGAAAAUCAAGGCUGAGGCGUGAUGACGAGGCACUACGGUGCUGAAGCAACAAAUGCCCUGCUUCCAGGAAAAGCCUCUAAGCAUCAGGUAACAUCAAAUCGUACCCCAAACCGACACAGGUGGUCAGGUAGAGAAUACCAAGGCGCUUGAGAGAACUCGGGUGAAGGAACUAGGCAAAAUGGUGCCGUAACUUCGGGAGAAGGCACGCUGAUAUGUAGGUGAAGUCCCUUGCGGAUGGAGCUGAAAUCAGUCGAAGAUACCAGCUGGCUGCAACUGUUUAUUAAAAACACAGCACUGUGCAAACACGAAAGUGGACGUAUACGGUGUGACGCCUGCCCGGUGCCGGAAGGUUAAUUGAUGGGGUUAGCGGUAACGCGAAGCUCUUGAUCGAAGCCCCGGUAAACGGCGGCCGUAACUAUAACGGUCCUAAGGUAGCGAAAUUCCUUGUCGGGUAAGUUCCGACCUGCACGAAUGGCGUAAUGAUGGCCAGGCUGUCUCCACCCGAGACUCAGUGAAAUUGAACUCGCUGUGAAGAUGCAGUGUACCCGCGGCAAGACGGAAAGACCCCGUGAACCUUUACUAUAGCUUGACACUGAACAUUGAGCCUUG
Molecule: ribosomal RNA, 1729 nt
Filed under: Escherichia coli
Lineage: Bacteria; Pseudomonadati; Pseudomonadota; Gammaproteobacteria; Enterobacterales; Enterobacteriaceae
Description: partial 23S ribosomal RNA
Rfam family: Bacterial large subunit ribosomal RNA
Source: RNAcentral